GACGAACGCUGGCGGCGUGCUUAACACAUGCAAGUCGAACGGAAAGGCCUGCUUUCCCUUGUGGAUUGCGGGUACUCGAGUGGCGAACGGGUGAGUAACACGUGAGUGAUCUGCCCCCAACUUGGGUAUAAGCCUGGGAAACUGGGUCUAAUUCCCGAUAGGACUGCAGGGUGGUGCCUGUGGUGGAAAACGAUUUUCUAGUGGUUGGGGAUGAGCUCGCGGCCUAUCAGCUUGUUGGUGGGGUAAUGGCCUACCAAGGCGGCGACGGGUAGCCGGCCUGGGAGGGGUGACCGGCACAUUGGGACUGAGAUACGGCCCAGAAUCCUACGGGAGGCAGCAGUGGGGAAUAUUGCACAAUGGGCGGAAGCCUGAUGCAGCGACGCCGCGUGGGGGAUGACGGCCUUCGGGUUGUAAACUCCUUUCGACCGCGAGGAAGCCACCUGGUUGGAAGGGUGGUGACGGUAGUGGUAGAAGAAGCACCGGCUAACUACGUG
This 494-nucleotide ribosomal RNA is filed under the name uncultured bacterium. RNAcentral describes it as "partial 16S ribosomal RNA". It matches the Rfam family "Bacterial small subunit ribosomal RNA", at positions 28 to 507 of the family's 1533-position model. The record is from RNAcentral.